UUUCAGACAUGAUCAACAAGACAACAACAAACCCCAUCGGACAUUUAGAUUAGCAGUUGCACAACCUCUUUCCGACGAGCUGAACCUUUUUAUGAUGUACAUAUGGGAUAGGAUUGUGUGGAAUUGACAUCAAACCAUAUUGGUUCAUUACCCAGCAAUGGUUCAUUACCCAGCAUGGGUACUGAAACUCCAACACAUUCAAAGAAAUUUUAAUAACACCACUACAUACACACAUACACAACAAAGGGUAAAAUGUGCAUAAACAUUUAACUCAACUCUUCUCUCAUACAGCACCCUGAAUGAUAGAAAGAAACAACCAAAGUUCUCGUGUUUGAACAAGUUUUGUUUUGAGCUAUAUCAUGGCUGCUUGUGAAGUAUUAUUUUGCGUGUUUUAUUUAAUUCAGUGAUCUGUAGCAUAAUUAAAGUUUAAAUUUUUGAAGCACGCAUUUUUAAAUAAGUAAAACGUAAAAUAAAAGUUUUCUAAAGCCAAAAUAUGGAAUUGAAGAGGGUGAUACAGAAAUACUUCAUUGCACUGCCAAUUCGAAGCACGCAAUAGAAGCUACGCCAAUUGAUGUUGACAAUGGCGAAGCCAUUUAAUACGUAAAUAAUUGUUGAAUAUAAUAAUAUUAUCUUGCCUUAAAUUUCAAACCUCAUAUGGCGCGUUAAAGGUACGCAAACUUAUUGGUGUCACUUAUUGUAGCAGCGUAGAACUUUCGAAGCGAUGGAAUAUGUGCUGCAAGCAAAUCCAAAACUAUGGACGCAAACGCUGCUACAUGGAACACAAAUCGUUUACACACCAGAUAUUACGUUUAAAGUCACUUUUUUGCGUGCAAUUAAACCUUUUGGUCAACACAAGCACGAAAAUUGGAACGACAUGGUUUAGGUGCUUUUGAAACCGUUUAUUAUCACGACGUGUGUCAACUGGGUUUUGCCAAUGAGCUAGAGGGCAAAGCAGUUUCAGUAUCUUUGAGCUUACCGGCACUUGGCCGUGCCAUUAGCAGCUAAAACACAGAAAUUAAAUGGAGGACUUUUUUGAUUCAUUUUCACCUUGUAUUGAGGAACCAUAACGUUGUUGUAUCGCUUUACAAAGACAUAAAUUCACCGAAAUUAGUUCAAUGGAAAUACUACAGCAAGACCAUGGAUGUUAAGACUUGAACGGUGCCGUGUUAGAUUUAGAAUUCCUGAAACAUAAGAAACCCUCCUCCCAGAUGAAUCUAUUACUAGUGAAAUUAAUGAAAGAACAGAUCUUAUAAAAACUCCGAAAGAAACCAAAAGAGUCCUCACAUAAUGUGCGCAGCUUACACUUCCAAACCGCACGGGGUAUUUGACAUUUUCCACUCUUCCUCCAGCCUUUGUCCGAUAGCAAAAAUUGUUCAAAUAUUCAUUUUCACCUACUUUAUACAUAUGUAUAUAGUGUAGUACGAUAACAUAUGUAUAAAGUAAAUAUAAUAAUAAACAACUAAAUGGCAUGAUAUUUUCAAUAAAUAUGUAACAUAAUUAAUUAUUUUGUUAUUAAAUUCUCAUUUGGGAUUUUGGUAGAACUAACCGAAAAUAGAGGGUAUAGUUUCUGGGCUUUUGUGGGUCGCAGUACUGAAAGUGCACGUGGAGUUUUGGUUCGCAGUAUUGGGUGUUUCAUCCGUGAUUGUACCAAUACCAUUCCCCAAAUUGUGCAAGAGGUAUAUAUACAUUGCUAAAUGAUUAAUGUAAUGUGCAAGAAAGGGAUGAACGAUCACACGUACACAAUAGUUUCGGGUACUUUUGUCAAUUCGCCCUUAAGAAUGGCAUAGAAACUUUCAUUGAAACUGCGGGUACCGCUCCCUGGUAUUUCACCGGAGAAUUCGCCGGUACCUGUCUUGCAGGGUAGUUUGGUUG
Molecule: long non-coding RNA, 1872 nt
Organism: Zeugodacus cucurbitae (melon fly)
Lineage: Eukaryota; Metazoa; Arthropoda; Insecta; Diptera; Tephritidae
Exons: 3
Source: RefSeq, a predicted model, not a curated record